AGUGAACGCUGGCGGUAGGCCUAACACAUGCAAGUCGAACGGCAGCACAGUAAGAGCUUGCUCUUACGGGUGGCGAGUGGCGGACGGGUGAGGAAUACAUCGGAAUCUACUUUUUCGUGGGGGAUAACGUAGGGAAACUUACGCUAAUACCGCAUACGACCUACGGGUGAAAGCAGGGGAUCUUCGGACCUUGCGCGAUUGAAUGAGCCGAUGUCGGCUUAGCUAGUUGGCGGGGUAAAGGCCCACCAAGGCGACGCUCCGUAGCUGGUCUGAGAGGAUGAUCAGCCACACUGGAACUGAGACACGGUCCAGACUCCUACGGGAGGCAGCAGUGGGGGAUAUUGGACAAUGGGCGCAAGCCUGAUCCAGCCAUACCGCGUGAGUGAAGAAGGCCUUCGGGUUGUAAAGCCCUUUUGUUGGGAAAGAAAAGCAGCAGGUUAAUACCCCGCUGUUCUGACGGUACCCAAAGAAUAAGCACCGGCUAACUUCGUG
RNAcentral lists this ribosomal RNA (492 nucleotides) under uncultured bacterium. RNAcentral's name for it is "partial 16S ribosomal RNA". It matches the Rfam family "Bacterial small subunit ribosomal RNA", at positions 29 to 507 of the family's 1533-position model. The record is from RNAcentral.